UACGGAGGGUGCAAGCGUUGUCCGGAUUUAUUGGGUUUAAAGGGUGCGUAGGUGGGGUUUCAAGUCUGGUUUGAAAGUUAGCUGCUCAACAGUUAGACGUGGCUGGAAACUGGGAUUCUGGAAUGGGUUUGCGGCUGCCGGAACGGGUCAUGUAGCGGUGAAAUGCAUAGAUAUGACCCAGAACACCGAUUGCGAAGGCAGGCGGCUACGCCCUGAUUGACGCUGAGGCACGAAAGCGUGGGUAGCGAACAGG
RNAcentral lists this ribosomal RNA (253 nucleotides) under uncultured bacterium. RNAcentral describes it as "partial 16S ribosomal RNA". It matches the Rfam family "Bacterial small subunit ribosomal RNA", at positions 524 to 776 of the family's 1533-position model. The record is from RNAcentral.